GCAGCCUUGGUGUAGUGGCUAUCACGUUCGCCUCACAAAUUUCCUGUGUACGCGAAAGGUCCCGAGUUCGAUCCUCGGAGGCUGUA
Myriangium duriaei CBS 260.36 is the source of this 86-nucleotide non-coding RNA. Lineage: Eukaryota; Fungi; Ascomycota; Dothideomycetes; Myriangiales; Myriangiaceae. The record is from the annotation of a GenBank genome assembly.